GAUGAACGCUGGCGGCGUGCCUAAUACAUGCAAGUCGAGCGAACGGACGAGAAGCUUGCUUCUCUGAUGUUAGCGGCGGACGGGUGAGUAACACGUGGAUAACCUACCUAUAAGACUGGGAUAACUUCGGGAAACCGGAGCUAAUACCGGAUAAUAUUUUGAACCGCAUGGUUCAAAAGUGAAAGACGGUCUUGCUGUCACUUAUAGAUGGAUCCGCGCUGCAUUAGCUAGUUGGUAAGGUAACGGCUUACCAAGGCAACGAUGCAUAGCCGACCUGAGAGGGUGAUCGGCCACACUGGAACUGAGACACGGUCCAGACUCCUACGGGAGGCAGCAGUAGGGAAUCUUCCGCAAUGGGCGAAAGCCUGACGGAGCAACGUCGCGUGAGUGAUGAAGGUCUUCGGAUCGUAAAACUCUGUUAUUAGGGAAGAACAUAUGUGUAAGUAACUGUGAACAUCUUGACGGUACCUAAUCAGAAAGCCACGGCUAACUACGUG
This 497-nucleotide ribosomal RNA is filed under the name uncultured bacterium. RNAcentral describes it as "partial 16S ribosomal RNA". It matches the Rfam family "Bacterial small subunit ribosomal RNA", at positions 28 to 507 of the family's 1533-position model. The record is from RNAcentral.